GACGAACGCUGGCGGCGUCCUUAACACAUGCAAGUCGAACGGAAAGGCUCCAGCUUGCUGGAGUACUCGAGUGGCGAACGGGUGAGUAACACGUGGGUGAUCUGCCCUGCACUUCGGGAUAAGCCUGGGAAACUGGGUCUAAUACCGGAUAGGACCGCACUUUGGUGUGUGUGGUGGAAAGGUUUUUCUGGUGUGGGAUGAGCUCGCGGCCUAUCAGUUUGUUGGUGGGGUAAUGGCCUACCAAGACGGCGACGGGUAGCCGGCCUGAGAGGGUGGACGGUCACAUUGGGACUGAGAUACGGCCCAGACUCCUACGGGAGGCAGCAGUGGGGAAUAUUGCACAAUGGGGGAAACCCUGAUGCAGCGACGCCGCGUGGGGGAUGAAGGCCUUCGGGUUGUAAACUCCUUUCGCUAGGGACGAAGCUUUUUGUGACGGUACCUGGAGAAGAAGCACCGGCUAACUACGUG
This 468-nucleotide ribosomal RNA is filed under the name uncultured bacterium. RNAcentral describes it as "partial 16S ribosomal RNA". It matches the Rfam family "Bacterial small subunit ribosomal RNA", at positions 28 to 507 of the family's 1533-position model. The record is from RNAcentral.